CGUCGCUCUACGAAAACGUUCAGGAAGUGCUGUCUAACUUUCUUAAAUUCUUCUCUGAUACCUCGACUCACCACAGUCGCAUACCAAUAAGAUGACCUAGAUAAAAAAACGACAGCUGUAUUGGCCAAUAAAGUAUGAAUCCUCUUUUCAGGUCUGACCUGCCUCAACAUCCAAUCAGAGAUCUACUUCCGGGCCCAGAGGCGGUGCACCUUGAGACUUGGUCCAAUAGAAGUCUCAGUGGUGGGGAGGCUCAACUACAGACGGGUGAGAGCUCCGGGUGCAGCAAGGGCCGGAAAGAUGGCGGUCCUGGCACCUUUAUUUGCUCUCUUGUAUUCGGUGCCGAGGCUUUCACGAUGGCUGGCUCGACCUUACUGCCUGCUGUCUGCUCUGCUGUCUGCCGCCUUCCUACUCGUGAGAAAACUGCCGCCGCUCUGUCACGGUUUGCCCACCCAACGCGAAGACGGUAAUCCGUGUGAUUUUGACUGGGUGAGCGCCCCCUGUCUCAGUAGCGUACGACCUUGACUGUCCAUGCCCUGCCAGGUGCACCUGGGAGCCUCGGGGUUCACCUUUCUGAGAACGCUUGAGUGUUUGAGCCUGUAGCUGGCUUAUAGACCGAGGAGUGUAGAUCCCGGGUCGUCAUCGAGUCUCAGCCUGUGUGUUUAAGAUGGGGAAAUGGGGCCAGCUAGUUAUAGCCCCUGCACAACAGCAGCCCAGUAUUCUCUCACACUUGCAUGUAUGCUUAGCGUUGUACCAUUCAUCUAGUCAACAGCCUUACCCAAACUCUACACAUGUGUAGCUUUUUACAGUGCUGCUUGUUGUGUAAAGCCCUCCGAGGAGCCAGUAGUACAAGGCGAGCAGUAGUAUUUCCGUUUUUUAAAAUUUUAUUUUUGCGGUCCUGGAGAUGGAAUCCAGGGCCUCUUGCAUACCAGAAAGUGCCAUACCACUGAGCGGCAUCCCAGUCCUCCAUUGAUCUCAUCAUGGUUAGGCGACUUCUCAAGGUCACACAACUGCUGAUAUCCUGAGAAACUACUCUGAUGGUCACAGUACUGCACACUUGAUAAGCCAUUUCUAAAUUCGAUAAACUUUUGCAGAGUGAACACUCUGUGUUAAGCACUGUGCACGAUCCCAAGGAUGCAAAAUUGAAAAGAAUUUGGGUUGGGGAUAUAUCUCAGUAGGUAGAAUGCUUGCCUUGCAUGCACAAGGCCCUGGAUUCAAUCCCCAGCACCGCAUGCACACACACAAAAUUGAAAAGGAUUUGAGAUCUAUUGUGAAGAAAUCUAUUCUAAGCCCCUUGCUGUGCUUUCUAGGUAGGAGUGGAGGCACCUCUUUAAAAAAAUGUGAGCCAGGGGCUGGGGAUGUGGCUCAAGCGGUAGCCCGCUCUCCUGGCAUGCGUGCGGCCAGGGUUCGCGCCUCAGCACCACAUACAAACAAAGAUGCUGUGUCCACCGAAAAAUAAAAAAUAAAUAUUAAAAAAACUCUCUCUCUAAAAAAAAAAAAAUGUGAGCCAGGCUCCUGUGGCCCACCCUGUAAUCCCAGCUGCUCAGAAGGCUGAGACAGGAGGAUUGCGAGUUCAAAGCCAGCCUCAGCAAAAGCGAGUCUCAAAGAAACUCAGUGAGACCUUGUCUCGAAAUAAAAUACAAAAUAGGGCUGGGAAUGUGGCUCAGUUGAAGCUGUAUCUCAUGCUGAAGAGCUGUACCUGUAGAAUUUCUGUCUUUUUUUUCCCCCAGCUCCAAAAGUGAAUCUUGACUUUCACCAGAUUUUCUUUCUCCCUCCCUUGUUUAUUCUUCCUGUUUUUCUUGACAGAAUUAUUGGUUAGAAUGUAGCCAUGUGAUUUCAAAAGAUCCUUUUUAAAAUAUGUUUUAUGUACAUUAAAGAUAUUGGGUUUCAAUAAGCUCAAAAGGGUAUAUGGAUAGUAAUAAGGAUUUUAAUAAAUGUAGGAGACCUUUUUUAAAAAAAUAUAUUUUUUAGUUGUAGAUGGACAGAAUACCUGUAUUUAUUCAUUUUUUUUUUUUUUAGAGAGAGAAUUUUUAAUAUUUAUUUUUUAGUUUUCGGCGGACACAACAUCUUUGUUUGUAUGUGGUGCUGAGGAUCGAACCUGGGCCGCACGCAUGUCAGGCGAGUGUGCUACUGCUUGAGCCACAUCCCCAGCCCUAUUUAUUAAUUUUUAUAUGGUGCUGAGGACCCAGUGCUUCACAGGUGCUAGGCAAGUGCUAUAAAACUGAGCUACAAUGCCAACCCCUGUAGGAGACCUUUUAUCAAAAUUUAUUUCUCUGUAUAUUGUCUGAUAUGCAAAAUACUGGAAAUCUUAAUACUCUUUUUUUCUUUUUCUUUCCUCUCCCAGGACUGACUGUAGCUUUUGGAGCCAAAGAACCUGAGGUUUUUUUUUUUUUUUUUAAGAGAGAGAGAGAGAAUUUUAAUAUUUAUUUUUUAGUUCUCGGUGGACAUAACAUCUUUGUUUGUAUGUGGUGCUGAGGAUCAAACCCGGGCCGUACACAUGCCAGGAGAGCGCGCUACCCCCUGAGCCACAUCCCCAGCCCCAUCUUAUUACUCUUGAUAGCCAGUUUUUGUUUUCAUGGAAGAGUCCUAGUUUACUAAUUCAACUUGGUGAUUGGGAAGUUAGGAAAUAAGGUAAACUCCAAAGUUUUAGUUGUUUAACAUAUUUAAAAUAUUUCUAUUUUAUUAAACAAAAGGGGAAAAUAAAAAUCAAGCCUUUAUAUUUAUUUUUUCUGUAUAUACUUACUGUCUUUCAUGGUAAUCAAAAGAUUUGAUAAAGGAAUAAUGAUUUCUUUUUCUUUCUUUUUUUUUUUUUGGUGCUGAAUGUCGAACCCAGGGCCUUGCCCAGGCACUCUACUACUGAACCAUACCCUCAGCCCCAUGUUCAUUUCUUAAUAGAAGAAUUUGAGCUAAUAAGUACAGAGGAAUGACAGAAUUUAAAAGUCAUUAUUAAGGCCUUUAAUGAAAUCAGAGAUCUUAAUGAUCAUUUGUGGAUGCUGAAACCAUCAGAUGAAAGGUUAAUGUGUCUCUUGGAGUGCUGUAGGAGGAAGACUACCUAGCACCACUUAUGGUGUAUAUUUUUGCCAAAAGAUUUAAAUUUCAUUGAAUUCAAAUCUCUAAAGCUCAUUACCACUUUACAAUAAAUAUGGGAAAUAUAAGGUCAUCAUUAAAACAUACUAUGAAUAUCAAGCUGCCAAAUCUAGAAAACUGGGCAAGUCAACAGUACAAAUGACUCAUUAUCUCCAGUUCAUCCUGGGUGUGGUGGCACAUGUCUAAUCCCACCAACUGAAGAGGCUGAGACUGGAGGAUUUCAAGUUUGAGGUCAGCCUGGGCAAACUUAGUGAAACCCUGUCUCAAAAUUAAAAGGGUUAGGGAUGUACCUCAAUGGUAGAGCACCCCUGGGUUCAAUCCCCAGUAUGGAGAAGAAAAAAAUUUUUUUUCAAUGGAUAUAUAGCCUGAGAUUAAAAAAAAAAGGAAGAGCUGGUAUCCACUAAAAAUUAAAGAAAAUGGUGCUGGGGAUAUAGCUCAGUUGGUAGAAUGUUUGCCUUGCAUGUACAGUCCCUGUGUUCAAUCCCCAGCACCUGCCCCCCCCCCAAAAAAAAAUUUAAAGAAGCCCGGCAAGAGUGGUGCAUACCUGUAAUCCCAGCAGUUUGGGAGGCUAAGGUUUGCAACUAAGCAUGGUUUCAGGAAUCCCACUGAGGGUUAUUAGAAUGUUUCCCCUGUGAAUAAAGGGGGACUACACACAAUAACAUUUUUACACACAAUAACAUUUUGAAACAGGAUCAUUUGAAUAAAGACAAUUGGGAAUUAUUGUGUUGGGUAUGUAUGUGAUAUAUGAAAAACAAAACUCAGCUUUUACUACUAUACUCUAGCAAUGCAGAACUUUUUUUGUUUGUUUGUUUAAGUCCUGGGGAUCAAACCCAGGGCCUUAUGUAUGCUGGGAAAGCACUCUACCACUAUAUCUCUAGCCCCACAGGAUAUUUCUUUGAUUUCUGGUUUAGGAAAUAAAUAUUAUUUGGGGAUUUCUUCUUAUUAACAACCAAUCAUUUUUUUCUUUUUAAAAUAUUUUUAGUUGUAAAUAAACAUGAUAUCUUUACUUUUUAAGUGGUGCUAAGACUUGAACCCAGUGCUUCACAUGUGCUAGGCAAGUGCUCUACCACUGAGCCCCAGCCCAUAACCAAUCAUUUCUGUAGCAGAUAUCAGCUGGAUGUCUUCUAAUUCAAUUUUAUUCUGAUACCAUCUACGUGGAUUUAGAGUCAGAUCCCCACAGGCUGAGGGCUUCGUCCUAUAAGACUACCUCUAUUUCAGAUGCCAUUAAGAAGCAAUAGGGGACUGGGUUCCUAGUGCAGUGGUAGAGUGCUUGCCUAUUGUAUGUGAGGCACUGGAUUUGAUUCUCAGCAUCACAUAUAAAUAAAUAAAAUAAAGAUCCAUUGACAACUAAAAAAUAUUAAAAACAAAACAACCACAAGCAAUAGGUUGUCACCUAUACUUUUGACUAAUAGCUAUAAAAGGGGUUCCCAGUAUGCACUUUUUAGAUUUAACUAAUUUGCUAGAGCUCACAGGGAAACAUUUUACUUAUAUUUACUGGCAUAUUAAUAAAGGAUACAGAGGUGUAGAUGUAGAGAUGCAUAGGGUGUGGUUUUUUGAGAAGGCGUAAGCAGCUUCCUUAAGGAACCUCAUGUGUUUAGCCCUCUAGAAGCUCCCCCAUUUUUCCAGUUUUUAUGGAAGCCUUACAAUGUAGGUAAUGAUUGGUUAAAUAUUGGGCAUUGGUGAUCAACUUCAGCCCCUUUCUGGAGGUUAGAGGGUAAGACUGAAAGUUCCAACAUUAAUCAUGGCUUGGUCUUUCUUGUGACCAGCCUCUGUUCUCAUUAGCACAUAAGUUAUUUAGCCUUCCAUCACUAUGAGAUAAUCAUAAAGAAGUAAUCAGUUAUGAAUUAUGAAUACCUGAGAUAAUUAACUUAUAAAGAGAAAAGGUUGAUUUUGUUUCAUUUAUUUUGUGGUUUCAUCUGUGGUUAGUCUGAUUGCUGGUAGGCUUGUGGCCAGGCAGCACAUCAUGGCAGGAGCAUAUGGUGGAGCAAAACUGCUCACCUCGUGAUCAGGAAGCAGAGAGAGCAAGGGGACCCAGGGUCCCACAGUCCCCUUCAGGUGUACACCCCCAGUGGCCUAAAAGUCUCUCAGUAGGAUUACCUCCUUGUAGCAUCACCUUGGGAACCAAACCAUUAACACAUAGACCUUUGGGGGAUAUUAAAGAUCAAAAACUAUAGGGUUGUGCAUGCCUAUAGUCCCAGCUAUUUGGGAGGAUAAAGUAGGAGGAUCUUGAGCCCUGGAGUUUGAGACCAGCCUGGUAACAGUGAGACCUUGUCUCAAAAUAAAUUUUUUAAAAAAGAUGCAAACUACAGCUGGGUGUGGAAAGGUAUUCCUUUAAGUCUAGUGACUCGGGAGGCUGAGAUAGGAGGAUUAGAACUUUGAGGCCAGCCUCAGCAGCUUAGCGAGACUAUGUCUCAAAAAAAAUAAAAAAGGCCUGGAGAUGUAGUUCGAUGGUAAAGUGCCCCUGAGUUCAAGUCCUAGUACCAAAAAAAGAAUCCAACUAUUGAAACACACAAAAGACACUUGUUCCUCCAGAGAUUUCAAGCAUUUUAGGAACUAUAUGUCAAGAAACAAGAUGAAGACCAAAUGUAUAUAUUUCAUAUUAUUAUAGUAUAGUUAUGGUACUGUGUUGUGGUUAAAAAUUAGAAAAAAGUGAGGCUGGGAAUGUAGCUUAGUGAUGAGUCUCACCUAGCAUGUGAGAGACCCUGAGUUUGAUCCCCAGCACUGCAAAAACAAAAGUGUCCUUAUGUGUAAGAGAUACACACUAAAGUUUCACACAUGAAAUGAGGUAAUUGGAAUUUGCUUCAAGUUUUUUCCAUCAUAAAAAGUGGGUAGCAUAGACAUAUGAAAUACCACAUUUUCAAAAUGUUGGUUACUGUUUUAGCUGGGUAGUAGGGGUUAAUUAAAGUAUCCUGUCAGGCUGCGGGUAUAGCUCAGGAAAGAACAUGAGCUUGGCAUCACAGGUCCUGAACUUUAAUCCUCAGCACUCCUCUCCCCCACAAAAAAAAAUCCUCCCUACUUUUGUGUAUGUUUGAAAUUUUACUUAAAUGAAAUUUUUGUUUUGUUUUGGGAGAGCCAUGAAAAGAUUUAAAAACUGUGAACGAGAUACAAAGAGGCCUCUGCUUCAUAUAGUCAUUCUGGAACCCAUUCUCCUUCCAUCUUCCUAUAGUCUUUUUUCUCUUUCUUUCUUUCUUUUUUUUUUUUUUUUUUUUUUGGUACUGGGGACUGAACUCAGGGGCACUCAACCACUGAGCCACAUCCCUAGUCCUAUUUUGUAUUUUAUUUAGAGACAUGGUCUCACUGAGUUGCUUAGCACCUUGCCAUUGCUGAAGCUGGCUUUGAACUUGCGAUCUUCCUGACUCAGCCUCCCGAGCCACUGGGAUUACAGGUGUGCACCACCAUGCCCGACCUAUAGCUGUCUCUUAUCUUAGUACCAUGGAACUAGUGGAUGAAGAAAGGAAACUGGAAUGCAAGGGCACACUCUUUUUUAACUGUCUUGAGUACAGAAGUGGCAAAUCAUUUCCACUCAGUAAUACUAAUCACACAGCACUACCAAGAUGCAAGGUGAUUGGGAGAGAGUCUAGUUCUGAUGCCCAGGGGAAAAAGGAAAUAAAGUUUGGAGUACUCAUUACCAGUCCAUCUUUUAGAAUGCUCCUUUUUUGGUUCUGUAUUUGUAUUUGGUCUUCUGAUUGACCAUAGUUCUUCUCUCUUUUUGUUUUUUUUUUUGGUACUGGGAAGUGAAUCCAGGGGCACCUAACCACUGAGGCCACAUCCCCAGCUCAUUUUUAUUUUUUGAGACAGGGUCUCGCUAAGUUGCUGAGGCUGGUUUUGAACUUGCCAUCCUCCUGCUUCAACAUCCUGAGCCACUGGAUUAUAGGCAUGCGCCACUGUGCCUGGCCUCUUUCAUUUAUUUAUUUGAGAGAGAGAGGGAGAGAGAGAAAGUGUGUGUGGUGUGUGUGUGUGUGUGUAUGUGUGAGUGUUGCUAGGAAUUUAACCCAGGACUUUGCAUGUGCUAAGCCUGUGAUCUUCCCACUGAGCUACCCUCUCAAUCCUUAAAUCCUAAUUCAGACCCACCCAAUUUCAUUCAUGAAAACCCUAAUAAUUUGCUUCAGGUAUAAUAUUUACUACAGUCUGUCAUAAUCCUGCAUUCCCAUUUUACAUGUCCAUAUCUAAAUUCAAUUAGUUACUUUUCUUUUUGGUACCGGGGAUUGACCCAGGUGUGCUUAACCACUGAGCCAUAUCUCCAGCCUUUUUUAUUUUUUAUUUUGAGAAAGUGUCUCUCUAAGUUGCUUAGGGCCUCGCUAAAUUUUUGAGGCUGGCUUGUAACUUUGAAUCCUCCUGUCUUAGACUCCCAAGUGACUGACCAUACCCAGCAAUUAAUUACUUUUUGUUGGAGAUUGAAGCUGAAAACCUAGGUUCCUGACCCCCAGCUGUAAAUUUCAGUUGAUUUUUUUUUUUUUCUGAAAUGACCAGUUGGCUCUGUUGUUAGUAUAAGAAAAGGAUAUGGAAGGCCUUAGACCAUCUAAUCUACAGUCUUUUCCCCCCACCAUGCUUUUUCUUUUAUCCUCAUUCAUGUUGUGAGAGGGCCAUAUUUAGUGAAUUAGUCCUGCAUUCCCUCCUAUACUCUUUGAAAUUAUCUUGUUUGUGUCUUUGUUAUGUUUCUUCUCUGUCUCACAUGGGUGCUAAAAUUCUAGAAGAAAGAACUGAAGCCAGGCGUGGUGGCACAAAUCCCAGCAGCUCAGGAGGCUGAGACAGGAGGAUUGCAAAUUCAGAGUUAGCAACGGCAAGGUGCUAAGCAAUUUAGUGAGACCCUUUCUCUAAAUAAAAAUUAGUGAAUAGGGCUGUGGAUGUGGCUUAGUGAUUGAGUGCUCCUGAGUUCAAUCCUAGUACCAAAAAAAUAAAGAACUGUAAGCCAAGGGUAUUGAAAAGGGCUCUGCAGCUCCCCUUUAGUUCUCCAGUUUCAUCAAAGGUACACGGAUUAUCACUGCAGGUGUUGAGUGGAGAGCAACAAUUGAACUUGAGCAAAGCCAAACAAGUGGAACAGAUAUUUUACUAAUAGAAUAUUAUCAAGAAAGCUGAGAUGAAAGGUGGAGAGGUAGUGGGGGAAGUGUUGGGGAGUAAUAUUGGUCAAAAAUGUGGAAGAAAAAAACAAAAAGAAAGCUUUCCUAGAAAACUAUUUUUUUUUGACCACCGUUAUACUGAGUUGAUUGUAAUAAUAUCUUGGGGAUAUAUCACACUUUAUACAACCCUUUCAUAUCCAUUAUCUUAUUUAAUUCUCACAUUAGCACUUUGAAAUAGAUAAUGGUCAAUCAGGAAAGCCAAAGUUUAGGGAUUAAGUGAUUUGCUGAAAUUCACCAGCCAGUUUGUGGCAGGAGUAGAACUUAAACAUAGCUCUUCUGACUGUUGCUUUCCCCACUACUACUUAGUGAACUGCAGUUAUAUCUUUGUUAUCAUUCUCAGUCUGGAUCUCUGUUGGUUUUUCUAACACAUUUGGUCCUCCUUCAUCAAUUCUUUUUACUGAAUUCCUUGUCAUUUUGCUUCUGUUCCAGAGAGAAGUGGAGAUCCUGAUGUUUCUCAGUGCUAUUGUGAUGAUGAAGAACCGCAGAUCUAGUAAGUUCAGCCUGCUUCUAAGUCUCAGGAUCAGGCCUGAUAUCCCUGGAGUUGCUUUUUUCAUGUUAUGAGAGGGGCACUAUUUAGGGCAUUUGAUCUUCUUCCCUCUUCCAUUUCAAAAGUACCCCAAGAAGAUGGAAAAAGAAUGGGAUAUAGGAGUAUACAGCCCAGCCUGACUUGUGACAUCUCUUGUUUCAGUCACCGUGGAGCAACAUGUAGGCAACAUCUUCAUGUUUAGUAAAGUGGCCAACACAAUUCUUUUUUUUCGCCUGGAUAUUCGCAUGGGCCUGCUUUAUAUCACACUCUGCAUAGGUGAGGCAAUUACCUUUUUAAAAUUCUUCAUAAAACUAUGUUAAUAAAGACUUGAUUUAGGGGCUGGGGUUGUAGCUCAGUGGCAGAGCUCUUGCGUAGCAUGUGUGAGGCACUGGGUUCAAUCCUCAGCACCACAUAUAAGUAAAUAAAAAAUAAAGUUAAAUCAACAACUAAAAAGUAUUUAAUAACAACAAAAAAGACUUGAUUUAGCUGGGUGUGGUGGUGCACACCUGUAAUCCCAGUGGCUCAGUAGGCUGAGGCAGGAGGAUCACAGGUUUGAAGCCAGUCUCAGCAAUUUAACGAGACUGUGAGCAACCUAGUGAGACCCUGUCUCAAAAAUUUUUUUAAAAAAGGGUUAGGGAUGUUGCUCAGUGGUUAAGUGUCCCUAUGUUUAAUCCCUGCCACCAAAAACAUAAAGACUUGAUUUGAGGAACCAAAUUUCAUUCCCAAACAGGUAGUUAUGUGUGUAGCUUAGAUGGUAAGAAAAUAAUACUGGGCACAGUGGCACACACUGUAAUCCCAGCAGCAUGAGAAUCUGAGGCAGGGGAUUUGCUUGUUGAAAGCCAGCCUUAGCAACUUAACGAGGUGCUAAGCAACUCAGUGAGACCCUGUCUCUAAAUAAAAUACGAAAAAGGACUGGGGAUGUGGCUUAGUAGUUAAGUGGCCCUGGGUUCAAUCCCCAGUACCAAAAAAAGGAAAAAAAACAAAAACUGCAGAGACUGUACUUUAGAGGAAGGAAAUGUAUUUUUGGUCUACAUAUAUCUACAAGUAUGUAUUCUUUGGUGGCUGAAAUCCUUGAGUUGGUUGGAGAUAAGUCCUGUGUGCAAAGCCUUGUAUGUUUUUUGCCUGAUAUCUUUUUUCCUGUGUUCAGUGUUCCUGAUGACCUGCAAACCUCCUCUGUAUAUGGGCCCUGAGUAUAUCAAGUACUUCAGUGAUAAAACUAUUGAUGUGAGUAUUCUUCCUCCUCUGAUUCUUGGGUACUUGGUAGAUUAUUUUGUAAUUAUGUUCUCAGUUCACUAGGAGGAAUAACAGUGCUUCAAAAUGAAAGUCAGGAGCAUUUGUGAUUCAUUAUGAGAGCCAGGAAGAGGGAAGUCAGGAUGAGGAAUUAGGCACUAAGGUCUGACUCCUCCCAGAUUCUUACAUGAUCCAGUUCACUAUUUCUUCCCUUUGUGUGGCAGGAGGAACUGGAGCGGGACAAGAGGGUCACUUGGAUUGUGGAGUUCUUUGCCAAUUGGUCUAAUGACUGCCAAUCGUUUGCUCCUAUCUAUGCUGACCUCUCCCUCAAGUAAGUUAGUGCAAAGGGAGGGAUAAUGGAAAUUGAGAUGCAGUACCUUCCUUCUUAUUUUUGGCCUUGACUUUUACGCUUUCCAGCCAAAGUCAUUACCCCCUUCUCUCCUCAAAUAUCUUUAUUUUCACUUUUUAAAAUGUUUUCAAUAUAUUAAAUAAUAUGUUCUUCUCAGGUACAACUGUACAGGGCUAAAUUUUGGGAAGGUGGAUGUUGGACGCUACACUGAUGUUAGUACCAGGUAUGUAAAGAUUAGAGCUAAGGAUCUUAGCAAGGAAUUACUUUGAGCACUAUAUAGAGAUACAUUCACAGAGUCUUUUCUGGGCCCUGUAGGUACAAAGUGAGUACAUCACCCCUCACCAAGCAGCUCCCUACCCUGAUCCUGUUCCAAGGUGGCAAGGAGGUAAUGCGGCGGCCACAGAUUGACAAGAAAGGACGAGCUGUCUCUUGGACCUUCUCUGAGGUAUUUGAAGGAAUAGGCAAGUAGUUUGCAAACGGGUACAGAUCAGUGGAUGAGUUCUGAAACCCAACCUGGAUUUGAUUUCCAGUGUCUACCACUUGUCCACUAGUUUUUGAGGAUAUAGACUAGAUACUAGGCCUCAUUUUAGUUCACUCACCAAAUUUACAUUGUAUGCCAGACUGCUAGUACAGGGAACAAUGAUGAGUGAAGACUUAGUCUCUAAGGCGCCUAUAGUAUGUAGGCAUUUAGGCUUCUCAUCACAAAUUGGAUAUCCAUCUGGCUCACAAGAUUAUUUUACAGACUACAUGUAGAUAGUAUCAUUCAUUCUUGGCACAGUGAUUGACACAUAAUGAAUACUUAAGUAUUAAUUGACUUUUCUGGGUACUUAAAAAAAAAAGAGGAAAGUUAAAUUAGGGUAGAUUUGUAUCCUUUCCUUUCUCCCUUCUUUCCUACUCUGUGUCUAAAUACUCCUUACUUUUAGGUUCUGAACUUUACCUUCCAAACCAAAUCCUGAUGUGUGCAUCUCUUUUGUGCAGGAGAAUGUAAUUCGUGAAUUUAACUUGAAUGAACUGUAUCAACGGGCUAAGAAGAUAUCAAAGACUGGAGACAGUAUCCCGGAGGAGCAGAGUGUGGCCCCAGUCCCCACCACAGUGCCAGAUGGGGAAAGCAAGAAGGAUAAAUAAGAUUCCUGCCUAGUUUUUGCUCCCUCUUCUGUCAAUUCCAGGCACCUUUGAGGCCCUACUCCAGUGUAACCAUAAGCUCUGCCUGAGGCUGCUGCCUCUUGUUUUCCCUGUUUGGCUGUUGCAGGGUAGGCAGGAUGCUGCUUCUGAUUUUAAAGAAGCAGGCAUAGAAUUGUCAGGUACCCUAGAGGAAGGCCUGCCUUGCUGUGGCCAACUGUUUACUUAAGGGAGAGAUCUCAUAUGAUGGGGGAGGAAAUGGUUUCCCUCCAAGGUUGGGUCAGUGUGUAAACUGCUGUUCUUCCUUAGACAUCAGCAGUCUGUGGUUUCCUUAUUCCUCUUAGUGGCUCUGCACAGCCUAGACUAGAUCAAACCUGUUACUUGCCUGGGUAUAGAACACUAAGAAUUUUUCCUCAAGGACCCUUGCUUUCCUUAGGCCCUUCUGGCUUGGUCUAUGGCAUUCAUUAAAAAAUACAAGCCUAAAUUUGUUACUGGUCCCAAGGAGAAACCUUUUACCACAGAGUUUUCAUCAUUGAAAAUAGUAUUGAAUGAUCCUCCUAUUUUGUAGGGAUCCAGAGGAAAAGGAAUAAAAGCUUGAGACUUUCCUUUGUGUGUUGGGACCUGGAGGAGAAAGCCUGGACUGUCCUUUUCUCCUACCUAGUCCCCACACCUAACCAACAGUUUCCAUAAUAAAAGAGACUGGGAUUUCUUUUGAUUAAUCUUUUGUGUAUUUCUCUUGUGUUAGAAAAGCUAGGCAGGGCUAGGACAGUGGAUCAGUGGGAGUUUACCUAGCAUGCUUGAGGCCCUGAGUGGGAUCCCCAGCACCACCAAAAACCAGACAGUCUUCAAAGAAAAGCUAAGUAACUGCAAAGGAAUAGCCCAUCUUUUAAUUUUUUUUUUUUUUUUUUUAAAUUAUCAGUACUGGGGAUUGAACCCCUGGGUCCAUUACCAUUCAGCUAUAUCCCCAGUCCUAUAUUUUUAUUUUGAGACAGGGUCUGAGUUGCCCAGAUUGGCCUUGAAUUUUCGAUCCUGAUCCUCCUCCUUCCACUUCCCAAGUAAUGGAUUACAGGUGAAUGCCACCAUGCUGGACAAGACCACGUAAUAUGAAAGGGCAUAUUUUGUUUCACCAAAUGCUGGGCAUCAAUUCCCAGGAUUGAUGAUGAUUGGGGAAGACCGAUUUCUGUAAUCCAAAGUGCUAACCAGAGGGGAUGCUUUGUGAACUUAAUUUUGGAUUGGUCCGUGCCUCCCAGGGAGGAAUUUGGGGAGCAUCAUAAAGCAUAGCAUUUAGUGCAGCGCAUAGGUACCUAACCUCUUGCUUCCAGACUUGAGUCCCCACCUCCUGGCAUGCCGGCCUCACCUCGUCCUUUCCACCCAUAGUCUUAAUGGUAGGGCCUGGUUCUCGCAGUACCUCCCCCUUCUGGUAGGCGGAGUGGCUGGGCUCGAAGGUCCCGCCUCCCCGCCACAUGCGCGCUGCGGGCCCCGUUUUCCACUCUCGCGGGGAGUUUUUGUUUCGUGAGCGGAAGUUCUGGGUUAAACCUGGUGAUUCGAAGUCUGACUGCCCUCCUGCCUGGUGCUAUCUCAGUCGUAGCAUCUUCACUGUAUUCUCCCUUCCGCCCCAGCAUCCCCAGUCGGCUCGGCGCGCGGCCGGAUUCCAGGCGUCAUGGCUCCUCGCUGGAGGAAGCGGAAGGCCGAGGCCGCUGCGGUCUCCACGUCGGAGAAGCGGGAGAAACUGGAGAACGGCAAGGAACAAGUAGAGGAGGCGGUCGUCAUUGAGCAUUGGUGAGCGCCCUGGGAGGCGCGGGCGGCGGCGGGAAGAAUGGCUGGCGUUGCAGCGGGGCCGCAGUCUGAUCUCCCCGUCUCUCCCUAGCACUAGCUGACGCGUCUACGGGCGCAACGCCGCGGCCCUGAGCCAGGCGCUGCGCCUGGAGGCUCCGGAGCUUCCCGUGAAAGUAAAUCCUUCCAAGCCCCGGAGGGGCAGCUUCGAGGUGACCCUGCUGCGCCAGGACGGCAGCAGUGAGUGCGGGCCGGAGCCUGGGGGGAGAGGGGCCUGGGUCUAAAGCUAAGAAGCACUAGUUUUGGAAACCGCGGCCAGCUGUUGACUUUAGAGAUGCUCUUGGAUUCCAAAGUAAUUUCGAUUUAUUCCCAGGUGCCGAGCUCUGGACCGGGAUUAAGAAGGGACCCCCACGCAAACUCAAAUUCCCCGAACCUCAAGAAGUGGUGGAAGAGUUGAAGAAGUACCUUUCGUAGGCGAUUUGGGCAGAAGUCCUCAUGCUGAGGUUUGAAAUGGAGAGGGAAUUAAUCUUGGGUAGCUUCUUGCAAAGGAGCCCAUACUGUUAUAAUUUAUUCCACACAGGAUCUAAAAGAGUGGUUUCCUACAGGGUGUGCCUUUUGCAAACCGUUUUCAUUUUCAUUUGAGUCCCUUUAUGCCAUAUUAUAGAACACUAAUGGUAACAUUAAUGAUUCUUUAUAGAAGCGUAAUUUGUAUACUUCCGGUUGAUUGUGGCCCUGGGGGUAUGAUCCAGUGUUGCUUUUGUUUGAAAAUUUAUUUCCUCAUUCCUGGUGGCUAUUUUAAUUCUUUGAACCAGUUUUAAAUCUUACUGCUUCCCAGAGUUAAAAUUUUUAACAUGUUUUUAUGUGGGUUAAUGAUUUUCCAUCUUUACUGGCACAUUACUGUACCUGCCCCUACACUUUUCUAGGGUUAUUUUGCCCCCCCCCCCCCCCAUGUCUUAUGUAUUAAACACUGCAUUACAACACUGUGCGUCUCGGUUAGGUGGAUUUUUGUCUGUCCAUAAUGUUUCAUUUAAUGCUUUGGCAUCUUGUCAGGCACUUGUAUGUUGAAUGAGUUUUGGGGGAAGGAUACAAUCCUUGAGCUCCUGGGUGGUGGUGGUGUGGGAAGGGAUGGCAUGCCUGUAAUUCCAGGGACUUUAGCAGGCCGAAGCAGGAGGAUUACAAGUUUAAGACCAGUCUCAGCAAGUCCUUAUCUCAAAAAAUAAAGGGCUGGGGAUGUUGUCAGUGGUAAAGCCUCCCAGGGUUUAAUCCCCAGUACCAAAAUUUAAUAAAGUGAUGGAGGGAGAUGUCUUCCUUAGUCUUUGGUUGCCUGGAUCUCUUCUCUAACAUUUCCCUUCUCGUUAUUGCAGCUGUCUCUGGUGGUGUUGGAGCAUUUAUGAUGGGACAUGGCUAAACUUCAGUCAUGUACCUGAAGCCAUUUCUUCCACUCCAGAAAUGAUACAGAUGAGGCAACCCUCUAGUAAGGCAUUGUAAAAAUAUUUGAAUUUGGUUUGUUUAAUAAAAGGUUAAAUAAAGUAUCUAAGAGUAAAAUUUAAUGUUGAUGGACAAAGCCAGCUGUGGGAUUG
RNAcentral lists this long non-coding RNA (14778 nucleotides) under Marmota monax (woodchuck). Lineage: Eukaryota; Metazoa; Chordata; Mammalia; Rodentia; Sciuridae. The record is from RNAcentral.